GACAGAGGGUGCAAGCGUUGUUCGGAAUCAUUGGGCGUAAAGCGCACGUAGGCGGUUUGGUAAGUCAGAUGUGAAAGCCCAGGGCUCAACCCUGGAAGUGCAUCUGAUACUGCCUGACUUGAGUCUCGGAGAGGGUGGUGGAAUUCCUGGUGUAGAGGUGAAAUUCGUAGAUAUCAGGAGGAACACCGGUGGCGAAGGCGACCACCUGGACGAAGACUGACGCUGAGGUGCGAAAGCGUGGGGAGCAAAC
RNAcentral lists this ribosomal RNA (250 nucleotides) under uncultured bacterium. Its description in RNAcentral is "partial 16S ribosomal RNA". It matches the Rfam family "Bacterial small subunit ribosomal RNA", at positions 524 to 773 of the family's 1533-position model. The record is from RNAcentral.